Molecule: transfer RNA, 87 nt
Filed under: Chloroflexota bacterium
Lineage: Bacteria; Bacillati; Chloroflexota
Description: tRNA-Leu
Rfam family: tRNA
About the family: Transfer RNA (tRNA) molecules are approximately 80 nucleotides in length. Their secondary structure includes four short double-helical elements and three loops (D, anti-codon, and T loops).
Source: RNAcentral
GCGGGAGUGUCGGAACAGGUAGACGAUCUGCUCUCAAAAAGCAGUGGGCUUGUGCCCGUGUGGGUUCGAAUCCCACCUCCCGCACCU